This 26-nucleotide non-coding RNA is filed under the name Mus musculus (house mouse). Lineage: Eukaryota; Metazoa; Chordata; Mammalia; Rodentia; Muridae. The record is from RNAcentral.
UAAAAUUGCUAUGACAAAACAUCCCG